CAUGUAUUAAUGAUUAAAGCUACGGCGGCAAUAGAUGGGCAUGCGUACCAUUAGCUAGUUGGUGAGGUAACGGCUCACCAAUGUUACGAUGGUUAGGGGGUCUUANAGGAUGAUCCCCCACACUGGUACUGAGACACGGACCAGACUCCUACGGGAGGCAGCAGUGAGGAAUAUUGGGCAAUGGACGCAAGUCUGACCCAGCCAUGCCGCGUGCAGGAUGACUGCUCUAGUAGUUGUAAACUGCUUUUCUAUUUCAUGAACCCCUCUGACGUGUCAGGGGCUGACAGUAGAAUAGGAAUAAGCAUCGGCUAACUCCGUGCCAGCAGCCGCGGUAAUACGGAGGAUGCAAGCGUUAUCCGGAUUUACUAGGUUUAAAGGGUGCGUAGGCGGGGUAUCAAGUCAGUGGUGAAAUCCUGCAGCUCAACUGUAGAACUGCCAUUGAAACUGAUAUUCUUGAGUAUAGUUGAGGUAGGCGGAAUGUGUUAAGUAGCGGUGAAAUGCAUAGAGAUAACACAGAACACCGAUUGCGAAGGCAGCUUACUAAACUAUUACUGACGCUGAGGUACGAAAGCGUGGGGAGCGAACAGGAUUAGAUACCCUGGUAGUCCACGCCGUAAACGUUGAUCACUAGUUGUUUGCGAUACAUUGUGAGCGACUGAACAAAAGCAUUAGGUGAUCCACCUGGGGAGUACGUUGGCAACGAUGAAACUCCAAGGAAUUGACGGGUGCCCGCACAAUCGGAGGAACAUGUGGUCUAAUUCGAUGAUACGCGAGUAACCUUACCUGGGCUUAAAUGUAAGACGACUAACAGGGAUACUUGUUAUCUUUCGAGCGUCUUACAAGGUGCUGCAUUGUUGUCGUCAGCUCGUUCCUUGAGGUGUCGGGUUAAGUCCCAUAACGAGCGCAACCCUUAUCGUUAGUGUCCAGCGGGUAAUGCCGGGAACUCUAGCGAAACUGCCAUCG
RNAcentral lists this ribosomal RNA (963 nucleotides) under uncultured organism. Its description in RNAcentral is "bacterial SSU rRNA". It matches the Rfam family "Bacterial small subunit ribosomal RNA", at positions 188 to 1157 of the family's 1533-position model. The record is from RNAcentral.